GCAGCGGAAGCUCUACAUCAACAACACCGGAAAGGGCACGAAGUGGAGCCAUGUGGUGUUUGAGCAUCCGGCGACAUUUGAGACAUUGGCGAUGGAUCCGAAGGAGAAACAGGCGAUAAUUAACGAUCUUUUGAAGUUCGGAAAGGGGAAGGACUACUAUAAGAAAAUCGGGAAGGCUUGGAAGAGGGGUUACCUCCUUUACGGGCCACCGGGGACAGGGAAGUCCACCAUGAUCUCCGCCAUAUCGAACUUAAUGAAUUAUGAUGUCUAUGAUCUAGAGCUGACCGCGGUUAAGGACAACACCGAGCUGAGAAAGCUGCUGAUUGACAUAUCCGGUAAGGCGAUUAUUGUGAUCGAGGACAUUGAUUGCUCGCUUGAUCUUACCGGGCAGCGAAAGAAGAAGAAAGUAGAGGAGGCCAAAGAUGGUGAUGAAAAGGAUCAAAUUCUGAAAAAGCCGGAAGAAGAAGAGAACACAACUAGCAAGGUGACUCUUUCGGGGCUGCUGAAUUUUAUCGAUGGCAUUUGGUCUGCGUGUGGAGGGGAGAGACUGAUCGUGUUUACGACUAAUUAUGUGGAUAAACUUGAUCCUGCUCUGAUUAGAAGAGGAAGGAUGGACAAGCACAUAAAACUGUCCUACUGCUGCUACGAGGCGUUCAAAGUUCUUGCUAGGAAUUAUUUGGAUUUGGAAACGCACGAGUUGUUUGGAACCAUUGAGCGCUUGUUGGGAGAGACCGACAUGACACCUGCCGAUGUUGCGGAGAAUCUGAUGCCAAAAUCUGAUGUCGAGGAUGCUGAGUCGUGUUUGAAGAACUUGAUUGAAGCGCUCGAGGCUGCCAAGGAGGCGGCGAGAGUGAAGGCGGAGGAGGAAGCAAAACAGAAGGCGGAGGAAGAAGCGAAACUGAAGGCGGAGGAAGAAGCGAAACAGAAGGCGGAGGAAGACGAAAAGGAGAAGAAAGAUGAAUCUACCAGAGAGGAAGUGAAAUGUAAUGGAACAUUAGCUGAAAAAGUUCAGGAAAAUGGUGCCACCCCAUUAAUAAUCUAAUCUAAACGAAAAGAUUAGUAAUUUGAAGUUUUUUUUUUUAUGUCUUUCAUUAAUUUCAUUACUAUUUAUUAAAGUUUCUUAGAAGUUUUAAGGCUGUAGUUAUCGUUUGCAUUCUCAAUUGAUGAAGCUUUAUCAAUUAGGAUUUAGUGUUGGUUUUUUGCACCGCCAGUGAUAACCUCUUUUGUAGUAGUGAACUAUCUAAGUGUUUUAGUGAUUCGCUACCAUUAGGAUAUUUAGAAAAGUAAUUUGAUGCAAUUUUAGUCGGAAGGUUCCCUGAAAUUGGCGCUGGCUUCUUGUGGUUAAUAAUUGUAAUUUCAUUUAGGAUUAACACCACGUCUUAAGGGUUGCAUGGUUUUUCAAAGGGUUUUUAUAAAACUUAAUGAGUCUUUCAAGUUCAUAUUUGAUUUGAACAUCCAAACGGAUUUCAUGUUAGAUAUACGUUCUAUGUUGGAGGUUCCAAAUAGAAUAUAUCUUAGGAAAACUUAACAUUAUAAAUAUGCAUGGAUAAUUCAUAAGUAAUUGGAAGAACUACGUAGGAUUGCUAAUGUGACGGAUGAACCCUAGGGCUUUAAAGUGGUUUCUAGUUGACUUAUUUAUUUAUUUUUAAUUUAAAUUCGUUUUUAUUAUAUUAAAUUCCAAAAUCAAUAUUUUCAAAACUUUGUUUUAAAUAAUUAAUUAAGAGUUUGUUUUAAACAUAAAUUAUUCAUUCAAUCCCUGUGGAAAACGACUUUGCUUGAGCUGCUACAAUAUAUGUUGGUUGAUCGAACUUUUAAUCUACAUUAUUGUUGCAGUACUUUACGGAAAAUUUUGACUACUAUAAUCCUGCUUACAACACUAGCGUGUUGAAUGAAAGAUUAUGACCUCCUCUUCAAGUUCCAAGAAGAGUCCAAGUCCAAAAUCCAUCAUCUUUCAGCCCAAAAGUCACAAAUAAGCUCUACAACCCCAUCUACCAGCACUGAGCAUAAAUUAAUUCUUCACGAUUAGAUGCUUAGGGAUAAAAUUAUGAAAUUUUGACACAACCUUCUUGGCAGAUUCAUGAACUGGCUCCAAUUGAAAUCACUCAAAAAUUCCACCGUUUGAUUAUUUUAUGCUCAAAACAAGUUCGCAUGUAGGGGUGGGUUCGGUUUAAAUCGGUUCGGUUUUUUGCUAAAACCGAAACCAAACCGAAAUUUCGGUUCGGUUCAUUUUUUUUUCUGUUUUUUUCUGUUCGGUUUUUUUUCGGUUCGGUUUUUUCCGGUUCGGUUUUUUGUUUUUUUUUUUCAAAAAUGAAAAACAUUGAAAUUUUAAAUUUUAACAUAUCCAACACAAUCAUAACAUAAGCAUUCUAACUAGAAUCAAAGACAAUGAAAAUAAACAUUUAAAAUUGAACUAAAAUCAUCAAUCAAGUCUUCCAAAGUCCAAACUAACAACCUCACAACACAAAAAUCGUACAAAUGACUUAGAAAAGUUAAAUUGUAUGAUGUUGUUCAAAGAUCAAGGUUGUUUGCUUGUAAUUGCAUGUUGACAACUUGAUUAGUAAAAAAUAAUGCGUGGGUGGAUUUUAUUUAGUGUGUGUUAGAGAUUCUUUUCCAUCACAAAUUACCCAAGUAAUGUACCCGAAAUAAAUGUUUAUGGAUUCUGUUACAUGUUAUAUGAGAGUAGAUUUGGAAAAGAAAGCUAGGGCAGAAGUAGGCAGUGCUAUGGAGAUGGAUGUAGGUACUUCUGAAGGAGGUUUGGUUCCGUAACCUUAUAUGGGAGAUAAAUAAUAGGUUAGGGUUUAGAGUUUUUAUAGGCCUUUUUAAAAUAUUUUGAGCUUAAAGUUUGGCAACACAUUGGGUUUAGCACAUUUUAACUAACAAAUUGGGUUUAGAAAAUAAUACCCAAAACAAAUAAUUAAAUAAAAAAAUUAAUUUAAUUAAUUCGGUUCGGUUCGGUUUUUUCAAUUCGGUUUGGUUUUUUCGUUCGGUUUGGUUUUUUCGGUUUCGGUUCGGUUUGGUUUUCGGUUUUUGGUUUUUUGAACCCACCCCUAUUCGCAUGUCCUACAUUAAAAACACAUAGCAAAACAUCAAAAUCUCACCAAAAUAAUAACUAAAAUAUACCAAGAAUAGGAAAUAAUAUAUACUAUAAAAUCGACUCAUGGUGAAGGACAACACUGAGCUGAGGAAGCUACUGAUUGACACGUCGAGUAAGUCUAUAAUUGUGAUUGAGGACAUUGAUUGCUCGCUUGAUCUUACCGGACAGCGAAAGAAGAAGAAGGACAAGGAUGAAGGGGGCAUGGAAGAAAAGGAUCCAGUUCGAAAUAAGAUGGAAGAUGAAGAAAACACACAGAGCAAGGUGACUCUUUCAGGGCUGCUAAACUUUAUCGAUAGGAUUUGGUCAGCUUGUGGAGGGGAGAGACUGGUCGUGUUUACGACUAAUUAUGUGGACAAACUUGAUCCUGCGGUCAUUAGAAGAGGAAGGAUGGACAAGCACAUAGAGUUGUCCUACUGCUGCUUCAAAGCAUUCAAAGUGCUUGCUAGGAAUUAUUUGGAUUUGGAUUCACAUGAGUUGUUUGAAACGAUUGCGCGUUUGUUGGGCAAAACCAAUAUGACUCCUGCUGAUGUUGCUGAGAACUAGAUGCCUAAGUCUGUUAUACAGGAUGCUGAGUCUUGUUUGAAGAACUUGAUCGAAGCUCUUGAGGAGGCAAGAGUGAAGGCCGAGGAAGAAGCGAAAUUAAAGGCAGAAGAAGCAGAAAAUGAUAUGAAAUAUAUAUAUAUAUUUUAAAUUGAGUGUUGAAGUGUGAUGUGGAGAACGGAGAAUAAUUUAUAUCGUGUUGGUCACGCCAACGUAUACUAAUUGGUGACCGAUUCUAAUAGAAAACGUCAGAAGCCGGUGUACUCAUCCUAUUUGAUUUGUGUGAACAAGUGAAGGUGAAUCGGCAAAGAAAAGAAAGUAGUGAAGGUGAUUGAUGUGACAAUGCAAUUUUUAUGUGUAAAGAAGGUAGAAUUUGUAUUAGGUGUGCAAAUUUUUUAAUUAUUACACUCACAAAUUUUUUGAUAUUCUAUGUUUACUAUUAAUUAGCAUGUAAAAUUUUAAUAAUUAUAUUGAUCCAUUUUGAUUGAUGUAAAUUAAUAAACCGUUUAUAUAAAAUUAUAUUAUUUUUAAAAAGGCGUGUUUAAUUAAGAUUUUAAGGGAUGAAUUAAAAUUUAUGAAUUUUAAGGUAAGAUGGAAAAGAUGGUUAACCAAUUUAAUUUUUGACACCUUGUUCUAAAAGGUCAUGGAAUAGGGAAAUGGAUCAUUUCCGGAUCAUUUACUCCUAAUCCACCAAAUCAGUAGAUCUGUGACAUUGAAAUUUGAUCUAACGGUUACAAACAGGGACCCACUUUAAAAGUUAUAAUAAUUUCAGCUUUUGAAUUAAAUUUUCAUGGCACGGAUCCACUGAUUUUGUGGAUUAGGAUGAAGGAAUCCGGAGAGGAUCCCUUUCCAUCAAAUAGCUUUGUAAGUAAGUUAGGAAUGCCAUUACUAAUUUGUAGGGCGAGUGAGAUUCCUCAUGUUAGGUGGGAAUUAAAAGGAACAAUGAAUGAAAUUGUUCUCUGUGGAAGUGUUUGUUUGGAAUAUUUUUAAAAUGAUUGAAAAUAAUUUUUUGUAAAAAUAUUUUUGGAAUUAAUUUUUGAUAAAAACGUAAGUAAAUUCUUUUCUCAGAAUGCACUUCAAGUACUUUAGGAAUCAAAAGAACAUUUUGUCUAACAACAUUUUUAAUCAUUUUAAAAGCAUUUCCAAACAAGUGCUUGUUUGAAAUAUUUUUAAAAUGACUGAAAAUAAUUUGUUUUAAAAUUAUUUUUGAAAUUAAUUCUUGGUAAAAACGCAAGUAAAUCAUUAUCUCAGAAAGCACUUCAAGUGCUUUGAGAAUCCAAAAACAUUUCAUCUGUUGAUGCACAAAAUCAGCGAAGACUUUGGUACAACAGAAAGUGUCAGGUUUUGUGACAUUCGCUUGGUUGCUUCGGUCACUAGUGAGGAUAAGUACGUAAAUGAAUAGAGACAGAGAAGCAAACACAGGAUGUACGUGGUUCACCCAGAUUGGCUACGUCCACGGAGUAGAGGAGUUCUUAUUAGUAGUGAAGGGCUUACACAAGUACAAAGGAUCAAGCUCUCAAUUUAGUGAGUUCUUGUGAAUGAUUUAACACAAAUGUCAUUAGGCAAUAUUGUGGGGGAAUGACCCCUAUUUAUAGAAAAACUUGUAGCUUUGUCACAUUGACAUGUGUCAUGUUAUGAUUGGUUCUUGAUGUCGACACGUGCUGCGCUCUGAUUGGCUUCUAAUCUUGACACGUGUCGAGUAGUGAUUGGCCUCCUGGUCGGAGGGGAACUCUUCUGGGUCCUUGACAGUAUAGCGUUGGCCGGUGCUCGGUAGUUUCGGGAUUGGUCAAGUAUGGUACAAACAUCAUCUAACAACGUUUUUUCAAUAAUUUUAAAAGUACCUCUAAACAAGUCAUGAUCAAAUGCUCCAUGCUCAAAGACCAAAAACAAUUCCUUGAAAAUUGAGUAGUAAAUGUUAUCGUAUACAAAAGUAUUCCAGUAGCCAAACUAAUUUUACUUCAAUUCAUGACCGUAAGUAAAUAAUUUAACGAGAAAACCGCUUUCUGUUUCAUAUUCAUAUCGAUUACCUCGUGACCUAAGUUAAAUCGAUCCCCCGUGUUAAAAAUAAUAUAUUUUUUAAUGUUUUACUAUAUAUUUUAUAUAAUACGUGAAGUAUUCGUUUAAAUACUAAUAUUUAAAAAAAAUAUCUUAUAAUCUUGGUCAUUUCAAUUCCAUGUAUGCGAACAUGCACAAUAUUCGGUCAAACUUGGUAGAUGGACAAAGCGAAAUUCAUAGAAAUCAAAGGUGGCCAAAUGGAAGCUGCCAGGAAGUUGAGUUGAUCAGAGCAUCUAGUUAGUUGGUCACACUACUCUGGAGGCAGUCCUGUGUCUAUAUAACUUCGCCUCCAUUUUCAAACCUCUAUCAGAGAGAAUUACAGCGUAAUUGUUGAAUUUCUUCUUGAGAAUACUGUUACUGUCGGACUGUCACGUGAUUUCUCCGUUCCCCGAUGGCAAAGAUGGGGGAAAUGUGGGGGCAGCUCGGCUCGGUGAUGGCGAGCAUGAUGUUUGCUUAUGCCAUGUUCAAGCAAUUCUUCCCAGACAAUCUCGGUGAUAUCCUUGAAAAAUACGGUCAGAAAUUAGUAGCCUAUGUCUACCCCUACAUCCAAAUCACCUUCGACGAAUACGACAGCGACUUUCACCGGCGGAGCGAGGUCUACUCCGCCAUCCAGAGCUACCUCAGCGCGAAAUCCUCGACGAGAGCGAAGCGCCUCAAGGCUCAUGAGGUUAAAGGAAGCAAGGCUUUGGUUCUAGGCAUGGACGACAACGAGGAGGUCACCGACGAGUUCGAGGGCAUCAAGCUCUGGUGGGCGUCCAAAAAGAGCGCGUCGAAAAAGACAUCCUUUUCGUUCUUUCCCGAGUACGAUGACAGGAAGAUGUACAAGCUGACGUUCCACCGCCGGCAUAGGGACGUUGUCAUGGGGUCGUAUCUUGACCAUGUGAGGCAGGAGGGGAAGGCGAUUGCGGUUAAGAACAGGCAGCGGAAGCUCUACAUUAACAACACCGGAAAGGGUACGAAGUGGAGCCAUGUGGUGUUUGAGCAUCCGGCGACGUUUGAGACAUUGGCGAUGGAUCCGAAGGAGAAACAGUCGAUAAUUAACGAUCUUUUGAAGUUCGGAAAAGGGAAGGACUACUAUAAGAAAAUCGGGAAGGCUUGGAAGAGGGGUUACCUCCUUUACGGGCCACCGGGGACAGGGAAGUCCACCAUGAUCUCCGCCAUAUCGAACUUAAUGAAUUAUGAUGUCUAUGAUCUAGAGCUGACCGCGGUUAAGGACAACACCGAGCUGAGAAAGCUGCUGAUUGACAUAUCCGGUAAGGCGAUUAUUGUGAUCGAGGACAUUGAUUGCUCCCUUGAUCUUACCGGGCAGCGAAAGAAUAAGAAAGUAGAGGAGGCCAAAGAUGGUGAUGAAAAGGAUCAAAUUCUGAAAAAGAAGGAAGAAGAAGAGAACACAACUAGCAAGGUGACUCUUUCGGGGCUGCUGAAUUUUAUCGAUGGCAUUUGGUCUGCGUGUGGAGGGGAGAGACUGAUCGUGUUCACGACUAAUUAUGUGGAUAAACUUGAUCCUGCUCUGAUUAGAAGAGGAAGGAUGGACAAGCACAUAAAACUGUCCUACUGCUGCUACGAGGCGUUCAAAGUUCUUGCUAGGAAUUAUUUGGAUUUGGAAACGCACGAGUUGUUUGGAACCAUUGAGCGCUUGUUGGGAGAGACCGACAUGACACCUGCCGAUGUUGCGGAGAAUCUGAUGCCAAAAUCUGAUGUCGAGGAUGCUGAGUCGUGUUUGAAGAACUUGAUUGAAGCGCUCGAGGCUGCCAAGGAGGCGGCGAGAGUGAAGGCGGAGGAGGAAGCAAAACAGAAGGCGGAGGAAGAAGCGAAACUGAAGGCGGAGGAAGAAGGGAAAUUGAAGGCGGAGAAAGAAGAAAAGGAGAAGAAAGAUGAAUCUACCAAAGAGGAAGUGAAAUGUAAUGGAACAUUAGCUGAAAAAGUUAAGGAAAAUGGUGUCACCCCAUUAAUAAUCUAAUCUAAACGAAAAGAUUAGUAAUUUGAAGUUUUUUUUUUAUGUCUUCCAUUAAUUUCAUUACUAUUUAUUAAAGUUUCUUAGAAGUUUUAAGGCUGUACUUAUCAUGUACAUUCUCAAUUGAUGAAGCUUUAUCAAUUAGAGUAAACGAAUCGCUAUGAUUAAGACAACAAAAUCCGACAAUUAUUCAAAGAACACGCGUAUUUGCAUGGUUCGGCCAAAUUAAUUGGAGGCUCGGAUGUCAAGAGCUUGACAUUCUUCAUCCCCUUGUGAAGGUGAAAGAAUGAAAAGUAUGGAGUGACUUGCUCUCUUAUUAGUCACUUAACUAAUUUUUUGUUUUCUGUGCACCUUGGACCAACCUGUCAAACAGAGUCAACAGUAGAAGAGCAGCUCCCAUCUGAAAUUUCUUUCUUUCUGUGCACUUUGGACCAACCUGUCAAAAUGCAACCUUGUCAAACGGAAUCAGCAGUAGAAGAGCAGCACCCAUCUGAAAUUUCUUAAAACUAGUCUUUAAAAUUAGAGAAAAGGAGAUUCAAACUCGGGAUUAAAAAACACACAUCUGCUCUAAGUACUUAUUCACCAGCCAAAGGAAUGAACCAAUGCCCCUUAUUUUUUUCCACCAUUCAUUAGUCAUGACAAAAAAAACCUAAACCUUCAAGAGGUUUGGAAAAAAAUAAUGCAUCCACUCUAAGUAGUCACUAUUUUGUAUCACCGUUCGACUUUAUAGAGCAACGGAAUAGACGACGGGCGGUGACCGUUUGCGUAUUCACCGGCCAACGGAUGAACCAAAACCCAGGGACAUAGAGAGCCACAGGACUGGCUGUGCUACAGCCCGUUCGACAUUUUUAUCUUCUUCUAAUAUCAAUUAUUGGGUGGAAAAAACAAAGGAUAUAUGUUCUACUGUACGCACUGAUCCCACUUGUUGGGUUAUGUUGUCUUCAGUGUCUCUUGCUUUUGUUAAUUUAUAUGUCUUUUGUUGUCCUUCGUUGUUUAGGUUAUUUUUAUUUUCUUCUUGAAACGUAUGUGGUUAAUUACUCUUGUCACUUGAUUAACAAGUUUUGGUAAAUUAACCUUUGACUAUUGGGAUUAAGGUCCGGUAAUAUGUUAUUUAGUAAUACGGUCUAGACUGUCUAGUAGUAUUCUUCUUUACAAGUUGAAGGUCUUAAAGCUAGAAUAUUUUAAACGACAAAUUUAUUACUAAUUUAUUAUGACUGGACCAUUGUAUGAACUAGGGCUAGUUUGAGCUUUGGUAAAUGUUGACCCUAGAAACUACCAAGCCUAUGUGGCGCGCAGGCCGAGUAAUCUAUAAGCUAACUACGUCCUUCGGUGAAUGCGGGGCGUGCCAACUCGUCGGCCGAGCUCGGCCGAGGAGUAAAUUUUGUUGAUGUUGCGUUGGGCGCGCGGCUGACUUCUGCGUCUUGCGAUUGCGGCCGAGAAAGGAACACGUCUCGGCCUCUUGGGCUCUCGAACCUGAAGACAAGGUUACUAUUCUUACGAAGUUCACGAGUCGUCGUCGUCGGAUUCAGUCACAGUGAUGUUAUUCGUCAGAGUAAACUCACGCCGAAUCGACACCAGAGUGUAAGGGCACAAAUACUCAAAGCAAAUAUAAGUUUUAAUGGUGAACGUGGUUCGGCCGUCCGAAUGCCGAACUCUAAAUCCCACUUGAGAAUAUCCAAUCAUAAAAUAACUCGGCAAGCAAAGUGCCGAGCUCGAUAUAUCGUAACACCUCACUUCGCCGAGAAGGCUAAUGAGAUGACCUCAAUCAAUAAGGAUCCGAAAAUCCUCCUUGACCGAGACUUGGAUAGGUAAUCAACCGUUCUCGCCGCAGUGUUGUUGAUGCCAACGGAAGAUACUGCGAGAUCGACUGAUUCUACGGUGACAGAGCUAUCUAUGCCGACUUAAGAUAUCGCCGGUUGCUUUCACAGUGCUGUUGAUGCCAACGGAAGAUGUGUCAGCGAAAAAGAAAGAAAAAUCUCAAGUUGUUGAGUUUGCGCAGGGCAGUUUUGUAUUGAUUUGCAGGGGGCUUUGAAUGAUGCGCAACCUCUUCUAUUUAUAGCAACGGCUCCCCCCAAGGUCGAGUUAAAAACCUACUCGGACUAAGUCUUCUUCUCCUGAUCAGCACCAACUCGACCAGUCCUACUUUCACUAGGAUUGUGAACCUAGUCCUUAACCGAGCCGGAUUCGCUUCCGGGUCCUGCCGAGACUUCUCAUUGCAUUAGGACUCGACUUCUUGCGUUAUGACCUAGCCGACCUAGGUUUGGAGGCCCACAUACUAAACGAUCCAUGGUAUUCUUGUCGCAAGGCCUUCUGGGCCGAGAAUGAUUCUAUACUCGGCCCAAACUAUUAUUUUGGGCCCAAACAUUGCCCUCUCGCUUCUGAGGUCCUCGGCCUGAAUUUGUUGGCCGAGGUUUGGCCUUCAAGAAGCGAAUGUAAUCCUCAGAACCCUAGUGUUCUAUUUCUAAGGCGCAUUUAUUGAGCACGAUUGCACGAUCUUGAUCCUGCUAACCAACUCGCCACGUGGCGUCUUCUAACACGACCAAUCCCCAAUAAUGAUGUCUAAGGCAUGCGGCUACCUGAACCGUCGUGCCAUCAUGACCUUAUGGUUGAACCUAGCCACUCUACCUCAAUCCGUGAGCCGCUUGUCAUCGUGUAGACGUCGAAACGUCUUUCGCCAUUAAUCUCGCCAUCACACGCAAUCGUGCGCCCCCAAAACCUAAGACCCUCGGUCUUCUCAACUGCAUUUCCUAAAUGUUCAUCAUGAUUAGCGAUUCCUUCGGUCGAUUUUGCCCUUUGUUUUGAAAUUCGAACGAUUGCCCUUCCUUCCAAAAUCCUAUAAAUACUGAGAAUCCCUCAUUCAUACUUUACGCUUUCAAAAUCUCUCUGAAAUUUCUUGCCCUUGUUCUCCAGCGCAGUUCUUUUUCCAAGUCUUCGUCUCCAAAUCCCCCAACCCAGAAAAACCCCUUUUUCACCGUACCUUUUAAACCUCCUACAAUGGCCUCCUUCAUCUCUAAGCUUUCCAAGGAAUGUGAUCAGUGUCAGAAGAUUCUUGAUCGAAGCUCAAUCAAAACCAUACGGUUUGAAAGUGACAUGAGCACUUCUCACCAAAUCUUGGGUCCUCUUUUCAAAGCGGCAGUACCGUCAGCCAUUACUGGACUUCUCCAGGAGCAUUGCCUAUCACCCUUGCUCCAAGGGUUUGAAUGGUCGAGAUGGGAUGCGGCGAAACCUCAAGGCUCCUGGCCUUCGACCACCACAACCUGGGCAGCCUGGGUUGUUCGAAUGGAAAAGCUCUUCGGCGAGCAAUGGAAGGCCAUCGGCAUCUACGACGCCAUCCUCCUCUCAUCUAUGGAUGUCGUUUUCGACAAGGAGCUUCUCCUAGCCGCCCUGUGCUUCUGGUGUUCGGCCACCAACACCAUGGUUCUCCCCCUUGGUCCUAUCGGCCCCACCAUUCUUGAUGUCACCACCAUCUUGGGCACCUCGGCAACUGGAAUCCCCAUCGAUGCGGCCCUCUCCGGGUACUCGUCGAAUCUUGACCUGAAGACGCUUUUUGAUCGACGGGCUUUUGAGACAUUGAGCCGUGAGGGUCAAAUCCCGUCGAAAGAAGACGUUCAGAAACUCCACAAGAACUUCUUCAAUUACAACACCCUCUAUCUCCAUUUCUCCGGCCGAGGAGAAGAGGCCCUGCGAGAAGGGGAACAUGAAGCUUUCCUCUUCUAUUGGUACAACAAGUACAUUUGUUGUACCAAGUCGAACAAAUGCUUGGUCGAGAACAUGCCGGUAGUCGAGGCCCUGGCUAGUGGUCACGUCCUGUCACUUAGCUACAACAUUCUUACCCAUCUCCUCCGCUGCCUGGCCGAGACGACCCUUCACAAGAUCGACCCACACCAGAAUGGUCCCCUCUGGGUCUUCCAACUCUGGCUGCAAGUUUACUUCGCCUCCCUUCGACCGGCCAUCGCUGAUUUCUCACCAAUGGAAGCGCUCGGACCUCAGCUGGCCUCCCGACCGAUACCCCCUCACCAAGCCGAAGAUGUAUUUAAGUACUUUUUCACCCUUAAUGACCUUUUCAACGACGAAUUCCUGAUAUGUCGUCGUCGAGACUAUCAUUCCUCCAUCAGGCUACCCAUAUCCAUGUGGGGCGCGGACGAAGAUGCCGACCUUCGUUAGUCAUGGGGGUCGUUCGUGCUCACUCGCGACCUUCAUCUCGGCUGUGAUGGGAAACGAGCGGGUUGGGAAGUGUACCAUCCUAACUUCCUUGCUCGACAGCUCGGCUACCUCCAAGGCUGCCCGGUCCCCAUUCUUUCCUCCCGCACCGUCUUAAGCCGUGGGCGCGAACUGGGCUCAUCGGAAAAGGAAUGCACCAUCGCCAAGAGGGAGUUCCAAGAGCAAUGCCAAAGUUUCCACCUUCGACCGGCCACCCCUGAAACCCUCUGCACUGACACCUUCGGCGAUUGGUGGGAACAGUAUACCCAUGAGUUCUUUGGGGCUCUGGUCGAAGGUGUGUUGAACAAACUCUUUGGUGACCGGCCUAAGAAGGCCUCGGCCCCCCAAGCUCAAGGUAAUUUUUUGUUUUUUUGUUUUGUUUUUUUUUUUGUUAAUUUGCCUUGCUGAUUUGCUUUUACUUUCUCAGGUAGUCGGUCGUUGAGAAAGGUGGAGGUGGUCGCUGCAACUGCGGCCGAGAAGAAAUCGGUCAUUGCUAAGAGGGCCAAAACUGCUGUGCUGCGCAAACGGCCUCGUCAAGAGGCCGAGCCGGUCAUCGAACCUCCACCGCCUGCCAAGCGGGUUAAAAAGCUGGCAAAGAAAGGAGCAUGGGAGAUCCACGUUAUCUCCAGUCAUACUACGGAGAUGACUCCCGGUGUUUCUUCUUCUCCCACCGUCGGCCAAACCUUGGUCGAGAAACAGCCAACUCCGAUCGCAGAAACAGUCCAAGCCCGGCCUGUUUCUGAGGUCGGGGCACCCGUUGUAGCUCCAUCGGUCGAGACUGCGCCUGUCCUAGAAAAGGCAGUCCCUGCGACCGAGGGGACUUCCCUCGUACAUCCAAAACCUUCGAUUUUCAUCCUGGAAGAGAGCGAGGGGAGCGAUGAAAUUCCAUUGGCGAGUCGCCCUCAUCCCCACCGUCGACCUCUACCUGCGUCCAAGGCGGCCGUUCCAGUCGGUCAUUCCACGGUCGACCGUGGCAAACGACCGGUCGGAGAGCCAACAAUGGUGGCGGAAACGCGUGCUCCUCCGCAGGACCAGGACCUCAAUCCUGCAUUCGAAGUGGCUGUCUCGAUCGGCCCUUCCAUGGCCGCCUGUGGCAAGCGACCUGCCGAGGAGCCAGAGGCGACGGCGGAAACGCCCGUUCAUCCUCAGGACCAGGACCUCAAUAUUCCUUCCCAGGAAGCCACUUCGGCCUUCGUAAGUACCUUCCACCGUAUCUCCUUGAUAACUUUUCUGCUUUAGAAUUCUAAACGAGGAAAAUACUAAAUGUCAGGUGCCUAUACACUAUUUUCAUCGAAAAUUCUAUGCGCCGAAGGGUGUUAUCUAUAUUUCUUGGCCGCCUCAGUGGCCAUCGAACGUAGAUUACCUCCAUCGGCCGCGUGAACUGAGAAGCAGUCUAAGACACUGGGCUCGGCCAUUGAGUUCUUUAGGUUCGAGCAACGAUCCUGGAGACAUGGCCGAGGUCUCCUCUCGGCAGGUUAAAAAAAAUGAAACCUUCUUGCUAUCCUUUUCAUGACUUCUUUUGAGCUUAACCUGAUUUGUGUGUGCAGGCUUCGUGGGAGGUCGAAUUCAAAGCCCUCAUCUCCAGCACAACUGUAGGGUCUGGUUCUUCGGCCGCCGCGACUGAAGCUGCCGAUUCAACUACUCUAACUCAGUUGCGAGAAGUCUUGUCGCUUUCGGCGUCGCAAGUACUCGAGCGCAACGGUCUUGAUUUGCUCGGCACAUGUCUGAACGACCUCGGAGCUGACGGUCGUUUGAGCGGAGAUGCUAUCGUUCGAGCAUCGUCUACCUUGGAGCGGGUUCGAGAGACAUUUAGUAUCUUCCAAACCGCUCUAAAGGAUGAACAAGACUUGCAAGCUGCCACGGCCGUCCAAGACACUCUCCGUCCAAAAAUUGACGCUUUAAAGGUAAAAGGAGAAGCAUUGGCUGAGCUUGACCGUCAAAUGGCCGAACUAGCGAAACGUAGGUCGGCCAUUGCCUCCAAGCUUGCUAAGGACUUCGAGUCGGGCGGAAAAGAUUGCCUAACCGAGUAUGCGGCGAACACAAAACGGGUCGAGCGGUUGAAGCUGGAUAAGAGGAACCGGCAAGUCGAGGUUAUCAUGGGUGAGGUGCGAUGGUUGGAGUUGAAGGCCCUGCUCGGCACUCUUCUACCCUCUUCACCUUGAAUGUACUUGAAUGUAAACCGAUCGACUUACUCAUUUUGUACAUGCUUAUCAAUCUUAAUGAAUUGGUUUUCUAUUCCUGCAUUUCCCAUAUGACCGGAUAGUAUUUCUUUAAAAACUUCCCAUUGAUUGGUAAUCUAUGCACUACACCGGUUUGGUCUUUGAGAUGAUACGCACCUUUUCCGUAUACUUUAUGCACAACGAACGGCCCCUCCCAAUUUGGCGACCACUUGCCGAACCUAGGGUCUUUUAGUCCUACGGGUAACACCGUUUGCCAAACCAAUUCACCCUCGCCGAAUGUUUUCUGACGCACCUUUUGAUUAUAGGCUCGCUCGGCAAUACGUUUUUGUGCCACCAGUAAGUUAUAAGCGUCAAGUCGUGCUUGAUCGGAUCAUAUUUAUAUAUAUUUUUACUUCAAAUUUACCCGUCUUUUCUUAGUUAGUUCCUUAUAUUUUUUAGUUAUUUACGUUAUUUUUGUGUUUAUAGGAUUUGUUAUGCAAAGAAAAUAAAAAUAGAACAAGUUAAAUUUUAUGUAAUAAAUUCGUCAAAAGCAAAUUUAAAUUACAAUAUUGCUAAUCCAUUGUGACGCUAAAUGAUAAACCAAUAUUUAAACUUUAUAUUUCAUCCUUUUAUAUGUCUUCUCUUGUCUAAUUUAGUUGGAAGCUUUAAGUAUUUAUGAUACUUUUGAUAUUUUGUGUUUGUAGGAGUAACAUGAUUAAAAGAACUUAUUUUUCUGCUACGUGAGGCUGCUAGAAACUAAAUGAAAAUAAAGGUGCGUGGCUUUGCCAGAAAAGUGGGGAUUCCACUUAAUUUGCAGAAAAUAGCAAAGAAAUUAGAGAAGAAAGUGGAGAGCACGGGGGACAUCAAUGAUGGGGUUUCCACUGGUGGCCUUGGGGGCUUUGAAAAGAAAUCAUUGCCUUUUGUUUAAGGCAACAGACGGAACAGCUGGUUUACAUCGUGGGAGGGUGAAGAAAGGAAUAAAAAAAAGAACCAAAAGCUGCCUUUGCAGCUGGAGAGAACACGAGAGGGCAGCGAGGUCAGAGAGAAGCAGCAAAGCUUCAGUGCCAGCGCGGGGAGACUGUCAGAAGCAGGAGAUAUAAGGGGGCGGUCUUGGGGGAGAAACGAGAAGAAAAAGGGGGAGCUGCCUUUGGGCAGCUCGCAGAGACGCAAGGGACAGGGUGAGCACAGGGAGCUGCCCUUUUGGGCAGCGUGAGAGUGGAGAGAGCAAAGGAGAGAGGGCUGCCUUGGCAGCGUGUGAAGAAAAGCACACGGAACAGGAAUUGGAGAGCAGAAAGCUGCCUUUGGGCAGCGUGAGGGACAGAAAAUAGAAAGAAAAUAGAGGGAGGUCAGAGAGGUUAGACGAGAGAGCAGUGGGAGACGCGGGGGGAUAGAGGUGACUGACGAGAGAGGGAGCUGCCUUUGGCAGCACGGGGUCAGCGAGAAGAAGUCAUAGGGGAGUUUUGAGAACCAGCGUGGGAAAGGACAGCAGGCACGGGAUUGGAAGGCAGGGCAGAGGAAUAGAUACGGGACAGCCAAGAGAGGGUCAGAGAAGAAAAAGCUGCCCUUGCAGCCUUGAAAAACAGAAAGCUUGCGCGGACGGGAGGAGAGAGUAGCGCGGAUGGGAGGAGGACAGAGACAACGUCAGGUGGACAGAAGCUGCAAGCCUUCUCUCUCUCGGUUAAAUCUUUCUAAAACUUCUAUUUUAUUUCUAUUUUUAAUAAUGUGUAAAUAAAUUGAUUUUGGCUAGAGGUUAAUUCAAAGCCAUGAUUAUAUCUGUAAUAUGAAUUGAUUACCUUCGGUUGUGAUUUCAUAAGUUGUGAUUUCAAUUUACUUAUCCGUUCGUAUAAAAACUGAUUUGUGUAUGUUGGUUGAGAGUGCACGCUUAAUUUACAUGCAUGAAUUUGAUGCUAGAAUAUAAGUGAAUUUCACCUAAUCGUUAUGAACUUAUUUUCACAAGUAGUAAAGGUUGCUAGUCACAAUCACGUUAAGUAAAUUCUUGGCAAGAGUAUCAUGCUUUUCAUAGUUACGAAUGCCUCGUCAAUGCUUAUAGUUUUCACAAAGUUUAAUGAUCUUUGAUUGUAUCGCUAUUGUGCUUUUCACGUAGGGGACUUUUGAAGAAUGUUUUGAAUUGUUGUAUGUGUUUUUCCGUCCAAUUCAAUAACUUAAGGAAAACUUGAAGAUUAAAAAAGUGCUGUUCACGGUUAAUCUGGAGUAUUGAGAUUCACAAUUUAUUGAAGGAACAACUGAAAAUCAAUUUAGGUUGCAUAUGUGUCAUGUGUGGAGAAGAACCCUCUAGCUAGUCCGUCAUUUAUCAUUUCACCUUAAUUUCAUGUUUUUGUCAAUUCUGUAAUUUAAUUAAGUUUAAUUUAUUUUUCAUCAAAACCAAACACCCAUCCAUUAUUAAAUUAUAUUAUUUAGUUAGUUUUCAUUAUUGUUAGUCUUUCAAUUCGAUUUCCGUCCAUUUCAGUCCUAGUGUUUAAUUUGAUUAUUUUCAUUAUUUUGAGUCAUCCUAAGUGUGUUUCGAGUUAUUAGAGUUUUUAGCCUAGUUUUGUGUCCUUGAGUCUUGUUUAAUAUUUUUAAAUUAAUUUAGAAUAGAUUAGCAAUCCCUCCUAAUCCCCGGCCUAGAACGAUACCCUACUUACAUCUAUACUACAAUUGUCAAAAAGAGGGUUUAAUUUGUGUGUCAAGAAAUUCACGCACCAGUGCUUCUUCCAAAUCUUCUAAUUCCUGUCUCAUGGACUGAUUGUAUUCGGCGCUAAACAAACUACUUUGUUCAAUUAAUCGCAACGAAUUUAUGCUUAACUCGACUGGUAACAUUGCAUCGUGUCCGUAGGUUAAUGCAUACGGGGUUGUCGCAGUCGCCGAUCGGGGCGAUGUUCGAUAUGCCCAUAAUGCCUCGUUCAACUUCAAAUGCCACAUGCCGAGUCUUUCUUUUAUUAUUUUUUCGAGGAUGCCGAUCAACACUUUAUUACUUGCCUCGGCCUGCCCAUUCGCUUGUGGAUAAUACGGUGUAGAUUGUUCGAGCUGAAUUUUUAAAUUUGCCAUAUACUCUUUAAACCUUUCGGCUGUGAAGAUUGUUCCAUUGUCAGUUAUGAUCGUUUCUGGUACGCCAAAUCUGGUCACAAUGUGUUCCUCCACAAAAUCGCAAACUUCUUUAAACGUUAGCUCGGCAUAUGAUUUUGCUUCGACCCACUUAGUAAAGUAAUCGGUUGCGACUAUUAUCCAUGCAUGCUUGGCAGCUCCGGAGGAUGGCGUGAUUUUGCUGAUUACGUCCAUGGCCCAUCCUCUAAACGACUAUGGUUUGAUGACCAAAUGCAAUGAUUCGGCCGGGACCCUUUGUAUAGGUCCGUGGAUUUGGCACUGUACGCAUCCUCGUGUAAACUCGAUACAAUCCUUUAGUAUUCUUUGCCAAAAGUAACCGUGUCGUCGAAGUAGCCAUCACAUUUUUCGUCCGGAUUGAUGAGCUCCGCAAACCCCUUCAUGGACUUCUGUGAUCGCCCGAGCACCCUUUUGGGGGCUGAGGCAUAGCAGUAGCAAUCCAUCCUCCCCUUUUCGGUAUAACUCGUUUUGGUACGUGACAUAGUUCGUGGCGUGGACUCGUGUCUUGCGACUAUGUUUUCCAUCGGGAUUGUCAAGGUAUUGCAUAAUGGGUUUUCUCCAAUCAUUUGGUGUUGCCUCGACGGUACAAACCUCUAUAGUAUCUUGUCGGUCUAGCAAUGAAGGUAAAGACAUGACCCGAGUGCGUAUUACAUCGUUGCGCCGGAGGAUUUGCUGGUUGACCAAGGCUGGGUAUAGUUGUCGUAACACCGGUAUUUCCCGGCCUAGCUUACCCCCCAGGAGUUGUGCACCAGAGGCAAUUUGAGCCAACUCGUCCGCGUCGGUAUUAUGGAUCCGGGAAAUAUGUUCGAACGUAAUACCGUCGAAGGACUCGGCCAAAUAGCUGGCAACCAUGUGGUAGGGUGCCAGGGUACAACUCAUGCAGCGGAAAGACCCAUUAAGUUGGUUAAUCACAAGCUCAGAGUCGCCGAGGACGAGGGCACGGGUGGCCCGCAAGUCAUGAAGGAGGCCAAGGCCGAUGAUUAGGCCUUCAUAUUCGGCCUGAUUAUUGGUGUAGUCAAAAUCCAACUUAAGCAAAAAAUAUCAACGAUCGUGAUUAGGAGAUUGAAUGACAACUCCAACGCCGGUCGAGGAUGAAGUACUGGACCCGUCAAAAUACAUCGUCCAAUAGUUGUCGCGUGUUUCAACCAUGCCGAUUUCGACAUCAGUGUCCCCAAAACCGUAGGGGGAGGGGUGGUGAGCAAGGAAAUCGGCCAAUGCUUGGCCUUUGACAGCUUUCUGGGGCACGUAUUGCAGGCUAAAUUCGGACAACGCCAUCGUCCACUUCCCAAUUCUCCCUUUUACGAUUGGCCGGGUAAACAUGUACCGGAUAACGUCGGUCUGGGUAAUGACUUGUGUGACCGACGGAAGCAUGUAAUGUUGGAGCUUGGAGGCGGCGAAGAACACGGCAAGACAGAGCUUCUCAACGGCGGAAUAAUUGAUCUCCGGUGGAUUAAGAUUUCGACUGAGGUAAAAAAUAGCCUGCUCUCGCCCGACAUCAUUGUCUUGGGCAAGGAGGCAGCCGAUGGACUCUUCAGCCGCCGAGAUAUAUAGUUUGAGGGGUUUACCGUGCCGAGGUGGAACAAGGAAAUGUGGUGUCGUGAGGGAGACUUUGAUUUGUGUAAACGCCGCUUUAUGCUCGUUCGUCCAUGUAAAUGUAUCCGAGUCCUUAAGUUUCAAAAGCGUUGAAAACGCUUUCAUUUUCCCUGCCGAGUUAGCGAUAAAUCGGCUGAGAAAAUUUAUCUUGCCGGGUAAGGACUGCAACUGUUUCUUCGUAGUCGGGGGUGGAGCACUGAUGAUUGCACGUGCUUUAUUUUCGUCCACUUCAAUCCCACGGUGAUGUACCAGGAAACCGAGAAAAUUACCGGCUGACACACCGAAUGCACAUUUGGCAAGAUUCAUUUUGAGAUUGUGUUGGAGCAUAUGAAGGAAAGCUUGUCGGAGAUCAUCCACAUGAGUCCGCCGUUGUUUGGAUUUAAUUACAACAUCGUUAAUAUAGACUUCGACGAUGGUUCCAAUUAAGUCAUGAAAUAUGGUGUUCAUUGCCCGUUGGUAUGUGGCGCCGGCAUUUUUGAGGCCGAAUUGCAUAACAACCCAUUCGUAAGUGCCGAGUGUCCCCAGGCAGCGGAAAGCAGUUUUGUGCACAUCGGCUUCAGCAAUGAAAAUUUGGUUGUACCCGGCAUGUCCAUCCAUAAAGGAUAAGAUCGCAUGAUUCACCGCGGCAUCGAUUAAUAGAUCUGAAAUCGGCAUUGUAUACUCAUCUUUGGGAGUUGCCAGAUUCAGAUUUCUGAAAUCGAUGCAGAUGCGCAGUGCACCAUUCUUCUUUAAGACAGGAACGAUAUUCGCCAACCAUUCCACAUAUAAAGAGCUGUCCGAAUGAACCCGGCUUUCAAAAGUCGAACCAGUUCAUCCUUGAUACCGAGUUGCACUUCGGUCGAGAAUCGAUGAGGUGGUUGCCGAAAAGGUUUACAUCCGGGCUUAAUACGUAAUUCAUGCUCGACAAGAGUGCGAUCUAAGCCGGGCAUUUCAUGGUAGCUCCAAGCAAAACAAUCUUUGAACUCUGUAAGCAAGGCACAAAGUUCGUCCUUCAUUUGUUGGGGAAGUAAUGCACUAAUAAACAAAGGUCGUGGGUCGUCAGCCGUCCCAACGUUAAUCUCUUCCAGGGGGUCCUUAACUUGGGGCUGAUGAUCUUCGAGCUCGGCCGGGGCGGUUCGAACUUUGUCAAGGGAUAAGACAGGACCAUUAUUUCCUUCGGCAAGGAACUCGACGAGGUUAACGCCCGAAUUUGGUUGUUGAGAUAUAGUAUACCAAUGGGCCAGCAGUCGUUCCAUAGUAGAUGAAACCGUGGCCCUACGUUCCUCCCGAUCGGUGUCAAACAUCGGCUUCGGGGAGAAAGUUGGCUAAUCCGAGUCUCGCCGAAUCCUGGUGGACAGUCUCGGCGCCAACCUCGAUAGCUUUCUGAACAGAAAUCUGAGUCGGUCGUCCUUCAUCAUUGAAGCCUUGCAAAGUAAUGUAGCCGACGUAGUCAUCAUAGUACCGUGCUUGGAUCAUGUUGGUUUCGAAGGGUUGGCUAUCGGCCGGGUGAACAGUGACCGAUUUGCCGUCCCAAAAAAUGAGCACUUGAUACAAUGAGGAAGGAAUACAGCUGGUUUGGUGAAUCCAAUCUCGACCGAGUAGUGCAUUAUACUCGGUUUUAGAAUCGACCACGAAAAAGGCGGUCAUGUGAAUGCGACCAGCAAUAUUCACUGUUAGCGGAAGGACACCUUUGGUUUGGGAUUUGUCACCGACGAAACUACUCAUUGUGAUCCCUGACGAAAUAAGUUCGUCAUUAGAGCAACGUAAGGCUUUCAUGAUGUUCAUAGGCAUGAUAUUGACAGUAGCUCCACAGUCGACAAAAACUUUAGAAAUUGGAUAUCCCUCGAUAUGGGCCGUCACAUACAAUGGCUUUAAAUGAUGGAGGUUGGCCGAUGGUGAACGAGGAAAUAAUUCGGCCAAAGCUGCUUUGAUAUUGUCAUCUUUUGUUGUAGAGUCAACUUCAGCAACGGAGACGAAAUCAACAUGGCCGGCUUCCUCGGCGACUACAUCACCAUCGAGGAAAUUUAGCUGAGCUGUGCUGGAUUGAAAAGCAGCAAGUAACACAUGGACCAUAUUGAUUUCCAUGUUAUCCAAGACGGAUGGGCCCAUCAGGUUAGGAUCCUCCUCGUUAACCUUAUCUCUCGUCUGGUUGGCGACUACAGCUUCCGUUGUUGUCAGAGUUGGACAAAGAGACUCUUCUGCUCCUUCUUCAAGGGUUUGAUCCUGUGUUGUUGCUUCGGCAGCUUGUUGGUUCUGCGUUAUCACCUCAAGUGAGGUUGAGGUCGACAGUGUGUUUGGGGUCAAGAUCCGAGCCUGCUCCUGGUAGUGUAUCCGGGCAUCCCUGGUGUCGAGAUAAGCAUCCAAUCGCGCAACACGUGCUAUUUCAUCGGUCGUAAGGCCGAAGAGAGAAACAACCGAAAAUACUUCGAAGUGAUAUCGUAAAUACUGAAGAUCCUCUAUUGAGAAAGGAAGGUCGGCUGCAUCGAUAUCAGUGUAUAGGUCGACUUCAAAUCCAAGGACACGAGCUUCUCGUAUGUGCUGGAAUCUUGCUUUCAAUCCUGGGUCUGAGGUCUUCUGAAUGAUUAGCUCGGCAUCAGGACAAAUCAGGACUAGAUCAAUUGUAUCCUGACAUGCCUUCGGCAAGCCAUACAGAUCAUUGGCCGAAUGUUUCUUAUGGAAUUCUCGCAUGUACUCCAAAGCCUCCCCGAGGAAUGGUGGGUGCAAAUUCCGUCGAAUUUUAAUCAAAGGUUCUUGUAUGGCCGGCGGGGGUAAUUUACUUUCGGCCUCCUGCCUGAAAUGCUCGAGGCGUGCCUUCAUCUCCCCCGGGCGAAGAAGAAGUUUGAUCCGUUUAUCAGCCUCUUCGAACGUGGUUUCGAUAUCUCGGUUGACCAGCCGUUUCCCUUGAACCAACUCUGUCAUAAUAGCUGGAGGUGGUCGUUCAUCAUCAGUAACAAUUGUGUCCUUCAACCGCCAUUGAGGAGCCGAAGUUUCUUGGGCCGCUUGUCGGCGGGCCAUGCAAUCUAUCCUUUGGUGCCGGCGUUUCUGGGAUUUGGACAGUGCGGUGUAAACGCCUUUCGAAGAAUGAUAUGUAUACCAACGUUGAUCGCUAGGUUUAGGAGGUUUGAAAGUUUUUUGGCUCCGCGAUGACUCCGAACUGCUAGAAUUACGUUUAUAGUAGUCAUCGUCGUAAAAUGAAGCAUUAAAAUCAAGACGUCGCCUGACUGAGGGUGCCUCUUCCAUCCUCACUUUGGGACCGAGCCUAUCAAAAACCCCUUGAUGUUGGCCUACGUCGGCAACCUUCUGCUGGGUUGCGGCCGUAGGUCGUUCCGUUAUAAGCGAAGAGGGCUUCUCCUCUGACUCACUGCCGACCUUUGCUCUACAUUUACUGCACAAAACCGCUGUCCCACUGUCUUCAUCGGUGGUAUAAUCUAUCAUAGGUUUGACAAUAGCGGGUCCCGUUAAAGCUGUAGGCGGUUUGUGUGAAUGAAAAUCGGCCAUGAAACGUGGCCGAGAACUCUGAUUUCGAAAGUGUUGCGUCGCAACAUCUUCGGCCUUCCCUUUCCCUUUGUCUUUAGGUAGGCACACAUCGACCAUAUUUACUGUUGCCGUGGGGAACGGGUCAGUAUCAACACUCAUCUUCUUCUCUGGAAUUUCAGUUUGCCAUUAUCAAUCCAGCUUUGGACGUUGUCUCGAAACACGACACAAUUGUUUGUCGUGUGUUUGCUUGAAUUGUGGUAUUUGCAAUAUAUCUUCCCUUUAAGCUCUUCGGCCUUGGGAAUGUUGUGCCCAGGCCGAAGUUUGAUGAUCCUUGCUGAUAAGAGUUGAUAAAAAAUUGCAUCGGCUUUUGUAAUAUCAAAUGUAUAAACUUUCGACGGUUUCAGUGCUCCUUCAGUAGCCGAGCGGGUUUUGACUUCCUUAGAAUCAACUUGAGUCAGUGCCUUGCAGACGUAUGGCUUAUCUAUCACUAUCUCAGCUGCAUCCACACUAACACAUUCAUCCUCGGUUGAUGCAUAACUGACAGUAGGAUUCUUGUAAAUCGUCCCCCGAGAUGGAGUUUUCGAAAUCUUUUCCUCGUGGAGCAAAUCAUCAUACUGCUCGACAUGCUGUGCUAAUUCGUACAUAUCCCGAAAGUUUACCCCCAAGAAUUUCAUUUUGUAUUCGACGUCAAGACCGUUCAGAGCAAGUCUGACGAAUUCAACUUCGGGGAGAGGCACUCGGCACCAAUUCCUAGCUGAUUUGAAUCUAGUAAGAUAAUCCAUUGGUGACUCGUCGGACGCCUGAGCCAUCCUUGCUAGUGAGGAUACUGACAUUUCCAUUCCCGGCCGAUAAAACUGCUCAUGAAAUUUCUCGACCAACUUCUCCCAACUCUGGACGGAGUUCGGUGGGAGGUUAAUAUACCAAGCGAAUGCUGAGCCGAUCAACGAAAAAUUGAAAAGUCGCAGCUUGUGAAAGUCACUAUUAACGUAUCCGCACUGUGCGGUGAAGCGAGCUACAUGUUCUAACGAGGAUAAGGACGAUUCUCCGGUAAAAAGGCUAAAAUCUGGGAUCUUGAAACCUCUAGGGUAUUCGACCUGUUCCACGUAAGCUGGAUACGGGUGUAUAAACUUAGGGAACUUCAGCCCUUUCUUCAUGGCUGAAUCGAUCAUCCGUUGAACUUCGGUCAUAUCGACGGGCAUUACUUCCGCUCUCUGGUCGGAUCCGUCUGACCUACUAUUCGACCCUCCUCCUUUUUCCAAUUGAAGUGGCCUGAGCCGAGCAGGAAUUGGCUCGGCCGGUGCACUUGAUAAUAGAUUAUUCCUUGGCGGCAAAUGCUGGGCAAGAUCGAAAAUUCUACCAUCGCUGACCUUACUAACCAGUAUUUCGAGUAAUCUGGUUUGUGCUUCACUGGAAAUGCGUAUCACGUCAUGAAGCUUAUCGAUUCCUCGACUCAAUGUCUGUUCAACUGUCCGAGAUUGCUCGUCAAGCCGUUUUCGAAUAAACGACCUUGUGGGUGGAUCGGAUCCUUCGCCACCAUUUUCAUCACAAUCUUCUAUUACUCCUUCAUUGAGAACGCAAGUGUUCCUGUCGGGAAUUUCAAGACUGCGAACCUGACCGCCGAGAUUAACUUCCCUCUCUCGGCGAGUUGCGCUCGUAGACUCAGGUGUCACGGCGCUGAUGGGAUUUUGCGCUUGUGGCACAUGGUGUCCUGCGUUCUGAUUUGGUAGAUCGGAUGUCGACUUUCCCAUAGUUGUUUUCUUUUUUACCAAUCGUGUUUCAAUUGGCAUGAACUUCGUAGUCUAGCACUGGGUCCCACUGGGCGUGCCAAAAUGUUGACCCUAGAAACUACCAAGCCUACGUGGCGCGCAGGUCGAGUAAUCUAUAAGCUAACUACGUCCUUCGGUGAAUGCGGGGCGUGCCAACUCGUCGGCCGAGCUCGGCCGAGGAGUAAAUUUUGUUGAUGUUGCGUUGGGCGCGCGGCUGACUUCUGCGUCUUGCGAUUGCGGCCGAGAAAGGAACACGUCUCGGCCUCUUGGGCUCUCGAACCUGAAGACAAGAUUACUAUUCUUACGAAGUUCACGAGUCGUCGUCGUCGGAUUCAGUCACAGUGAUGUUAUUCGUCAGAGUAAACUCACGCCGAAUCGACACCAGAGUGUAAGGGCACAAAUACUCAAAGCAAAUAUAAGUUUUAAUGGUGAACGUGGUUCGGCCGUCCGAAUGCCGAACUCUAAAUCCCACUUGAGAAUAUCCAAUCAUAAAAUAACUCGGCAAGCAAAGCGCCGAGCUCGAUAUAUCGUAACACCUCAAUUCGCCGAGAAGGCUAAUGAGAUGACCUCAAUCAAUAAGGAUCCGGAAAUCCUCCUUGACAGAGACUUGGAUAGGUAAUCAACCGUUCUCGCCGCAGUGCUGUUGAUGCCAACGGAAGAUACUGCGAGAUCGACUGAUUCUACGGUGACAGAGCUAUCUAUGCCGACUUAAGAUAUCACCGGUUGCUUUCACAGUGCUGUUGAUGCCAACGGAAGAUGUGUCAGCGAAAAAGAAAGAAAAAUCUCAAGUUGUUGAGUUUGCGCAGGGCAGUUUUGUAUUGAUUUGUAGGGGGCUUUGAAUGAUGCGCAUCCUCUUCUAUUUAUAGCAACGGCUCCCCCCAAGGUCGAGUUAAAAACCUACUCGGACUAGGUCUUCUUCUCCUGAUCAGCACCAACUCGACCAGUCCUACUUUCACUAGGAUUGUGAACCUAGUCCUUAACCGAGCCGGAUUUGCUUCCGGGUCCUGCCGAGACUCCUCAUUGCAUUAGGACUCGACUUCUUGCAUUAUGACCUAGCUGACCUAGGUUUGGAGGCCCACGUACUAAACGAUCCAUGGUAUUCUUGUCGCAAGGCCUUCUGGGCCGAGAAUGAUUCUAUACUCGGCCCAAACUAUUAUUUUGGGCCCAAACAGUAAACUUUAUUUUUAAAAGUCUUUUCAGUAUGGAAAGGAGUGUAAAAGUGAUUGGUAAAACUUUGGUGAAAAAAUGAUGUAAUUGUAUACAAUGAUAAAAAUGAACAUGAUAGUGUGAGUGAUAACCACAAGAACAGUAGCUAGGACAAUAGUUGUGAUGGUGAUGUGGUGCUAAUAAAGGGGUGUGUUGGUUGGUGAGCUGUAGAGGUAACACUGGUGAUAGUGGUGACAACAAUAGCAAUGAUAGUAACAGGAUGUAGACGUAUGCAUUUUCCCUUUAGAAACAAAUUAAUUUUUCCAGCACACUCCACUUCAAAUUUCUCGUUACGUCCUCUUCUUUUCCAUCAUUAAAAAAUGACUUUUUUUUUAAUUAAAAAAAAAAACAUCAACUCGUACAACGGAGUUUCUCUUAAAAACAGAAAAAUAUGCCAAAAAUAAUUGUCUUUUGUAGUCUUUUGUCAACAAUGGCGGCUACCUUCGGAAGAAGAGAUUUUUCAGUAUUUCCGUCACACGAAAUGUUACAUCAUGUAUCUUUACAUAAAUGGUGGGUUACGUAUAUUAAAAGGUUAAUAACUUAAAAAUUAAAAGUUUCCACCACUUGCAUAAAAACACAUGUUGUAUCAUCCGUGUUCUCGUCACAACUAAAAAUUUUCCCUUCGGAAGAUCCCAGCAAACUUCCUCAUUUUUUUCCCUUUAGUCACUGAGUUAUCGUAAACAACUAAAACUUGGCUUUUAAGAAAAGAACAAAUACUCCACUCUAUAUAAAACCAUGUCUUUCAUUGAGCAGAAACAAAAUUAAAACCCUUAACCUUCAAGAGAUUCCGUAAACCCUUCGGUCAGAAACGAAGAUGAUUGGGGGAAUGUGGCCUCAAAUGGGCUCGGUGAUAGCGAGUAUGGUGUUCGUUAUCACCAUAUUUCAACGAUACCUUCCCCUCCAACUUCGGGACCAUGUCGAAGGAUACACUCAAAAAUUAGUGGGCUUUGUCUACCCUUACAUCCAAAUCACCUUUGAUGAAUUCACCGAUGAUUUCCGCAACCAAAGCGAAAUCUAUUCCGCUAUCCAGAGCUACCUCAGCACAAAAUCUUCCACUUUGGAAUUUUUGAGUGAUUUCAAUUGGAGCAGGUUCGUGAAUCUGUCAACAAAGUUUUAUCAAAAUUUCAUAAUUUUAUCCCCAAGCAUCUGAUCGUGGCAAAUUAAUUUAUGGUCAACGUGCAGUGUUGGCAGAUGGGGCUGCAGAGCUUAUUUGCGAAUUUUGGGCUGGAAGAUGAUGGAUUUUGAACUUGGACUCUUCUUGGAACUUGAAGAGGAGGUCAUAAUAUUUAAUUCAAGACGUUUUGGGCCUGAUUUGGAGCCAUGAAAGUCUAGAAACGUGGCUAUUUCUUUGCUGGGCAGAUUUCCUAGUCAAAAUAAGAAUGUAAUUCCUAGUUAUCUUUUUAAUAUUUUAUUUCCUUAUUUUUAGAAAACCUUUUCUAUGAGGGUUUUAAUUUGGAGUAGUAUAAAUAAGGCUUUUUAGCCAUUAGGAAAGGGGAGGAGAACACGGGCACUACUUUAGAGAGCUUUUGAAGUUUAUUUUCAAGGUGUUUCCUUUCCAUGUUCUUAAUAAUAUUUUGUUUUAUGAUUAUUCGUAACUAGUUUCUUUUGCUAGGGCGAAGCCUUGAGCCUUAGUAAGAAUAUGUAGUUUCUUUUCAAUUUACUUAUGAUAUUAUGCAUGCAUGUUUUGAAUUAUUGAUCACCGUUUUAAGCCACUACUACAAAAGUGGCUUAUUUUGUCGAUGACUGGUGUUGGUUUUAUAUAAUAUACUGGCGGAUAAGACAUUUCUGACACCCUCUUUACAUGGUGUCGGAAUUACUGUCGAGUAUAACCGACAUAGCUUUUAAUCUUUAUGAAUGGUGGUGUCGCUUAAAAAGAAAAUCGUGUCAACAUGAAGAAUCGUGUCACUUCUACCCGACACUAAUAAUAAUUUUUAAAUACUGUAAAACCCAGUGUCGGUUGUAGCCGACACUAAUAAUUAUUUUUUAAUAUUUUAAAACCCAAUGUUGACCCGUUCCGUUCCGUUCCCAUUACUUCACUUGACUCUCUCUCUCUCUCUUACGCACACAUCAGUUCCCUCACAUGGGUUUCUUUCUCUCUUUCUGACACACAUGCCUCAUUUCUCUCACUUUUUUUUUAACUGGUUCUUUUUCACCCCCUCUCUUUUCCGUCUCCAUCACAUCUCUCUGCACCCACCCACUCAACCUUCUUUCAUCCCUCUCUCUCUUUCCUAUUCUCUCUCUCUUUCCUCGAUUUCUCCAUUUCCCAUCCCUCCAUCUUCUUCUCUUAUGAAAAACCACAAAUCAAAACACUACAAACAUCUCCCUUUAUUCUCCACCACACAUCUCCCUUUAGCCUACAACCUGCCAAGUUUUAUCCCUUCCUCUACCUCUCCACUGCACAUCUCCCUUUAUCCCACCAAUGCACUUCUCCUUUUCCACGCACAGAGCUUCUGGAUCUGCUAAGGACACCAAGCCAAGCCAAGUUCUACAUAAUGGGUUCCACCACUGUUCAUCACGUACCCCAACUAGUUCUCGAGCUCUUGAGUCUUGACUUGGUAAGCCUCCAUACUACUCCAUUUCAUUUCAGUUUCCGUUUUCUAGCUUGGUUUCGAGCUUGCAUGUAAACUUAAAACCCACACCGUGGUUGAAAAAAUGAAUGUGGGUUUUGUUCAUUUCGAUAUGUUCAAUGCGAAGAAGAUGAGAUAAUUAGUGUGAUUUGGAGAUCUUUGUGCUUAGAUUGGAAAAUGUAGGAAAGCAGAAACGACUUUUUGAAUUUUGAGGAAAUAAUAAUUCGUUUUCCCUCCUAAACGAAUCGUUUUCAUUUCCCCAAAAACUCAGGGAGAAUGGAAGCUACGAAAGGCACCAAGGGCGUCGGCGGAAGAAGUCGGUGUCCAAGUUAGUUAAAGCCGACCUCCAAUUCCUUUUCGGUUGUAUCCCUCGUUUCCUCAAAAAGGGACGCUACGCCCAAUGUACUGGUACUAGCGCUCCCAUUUACCUCGCCGCCGAGGUAAUUUCCCGAUCCAUAUUUCUCAGAUAUAAACAUUUCCUGCUUAUAUAUAUUUUUAUACUUUGCUAAUUAUUAUUAAUAAUUGAGAUAGAUUUUUUUUUAAAUAUUAUUAAAAAUUUGUGGUGUCAUUUAUGGGCGACAUUAUAUUGGUUAUUUUAUUUUUCUAGGUGUCAAUUAUGACUGACACUAGUCUGCUCCAUCAACAGCUUUUGUCAGUCUCAGUGUCACAUUUAACCGACAUUACUACCCUUUUUUAUUUUAUAUUGCUUUCUUCUUCAUGUCGGAUUCUUCAUGACGGAUUAAGAGGACUAACCGACAUCAAAAGCCUUUCGUGAUGCUAGCAUUGAUGUCGGUUCCCCUAUCCGACAUUGCAUGAUUUGAUGUCGAUUUUUUACGAAAAAUCCAACAUUAAUUAGGAUUUAGUGUUGGUUUUUGCACCGCUAGUGAUAACCUCUUUUGUAGUAGUGAACUAUCUAAGUAUUUUAGUGAUUCGCUACCAUUAGGAUAUUUAGAAAAAUAAUUUGAUGCAAUUUUGGUCGGAAGGUUCCCUGAAAUUGGCGCUGGCUUCUUGUGGUUAAUAAUUGUAAUUUCAUUUAGGAUUAACACCACGUCUUAAGGGUUGCAUGAUUUUUCAAAGGGUUUUCAUAAAACUUAAUGAGUCUUUCAAGUUCAUAUUUGAUUUGAACAUUCGAAUGGAUUUCAUGUUAGAUAUAUGUUCCAUGUUGGAGGUUCCAAAUAGAAUAUAUCUUAGGAAAACCUAACAUUAUAAAUAUGCAUGGAUAAUUCAUAAGUAAUUGGAAGAACUACGUAGGAUUGCUAAUGUGACGGAUGAACCCUAGGGCUUUAAAUUGGUUUCUAGUUGACUUAUUUAAUUUUUUUUAAUUUAAAUUCGUUUUUAUUAUAUUAAAUUCCAAAAUCAAUAUUUUCAAAACUUUGUUUUAAAUAAUUAAUUAAGAGUUUGUUUUAAACAUAAAUUAUUCAUUCAAUCCCUGUGGAAAACGAUUUUGCUUGAGCUGCUACAAUAUCUGUUGGCUGAUAGAACUUUUAAUCUACAUUAUUGUUGUAGUACUUUACGGAAAAUUUUGACUACUAUAAUCCUGCUUACAACACUAACGUGUUGAAUGAAAGAUUAUGACCUCCUCUUCAAGUUCCAAGAAGAGUCCAAGUCCAAAAUCCAUCAUCUUUCAGCCCAAAAGUCACAAAUAAGCUCUGCAGCCCCAUCUACUAGCACUGGGCAUAAAUUAAUUCGUCACGAUUAGAUGCUUACGGAUAAAAUUAUGAAAUUUUGACACAACCUUCUUGACAGAUUCAUGAACCGGCUCCAAUUGAAAUCACUCAAAAAUUCCACCGUUUGAUUAUUUUAUGCUCAGAACAAGUUCGCAUGUCCUACAUUAAAAACACAUAGCAAAACAUCAAAAUCUCACCAAAAUAAUAACUAAAAUAUACCAAGAAUAGGAAAUAAUAUAUAGUAUAAAAUCGACUCAUGGUGAAGGACAACACUGAGCUGAGGAAGCUACUGAUUGACACGUCGAGUAAGUCUAUAAUUGUGAUUGAGGACAUUGAUUGCUCGCUUGAUCUUACCGGACAGCGAAAGAAGAAGAAGGACAAGGAUGAAGGGGGCAUGGAAGAAAAGGAUCCAGUUCGAAAUAAGAUGGAAGAUGAAGAAA
Molecule: long non-coding RNA, 29796 nt
Filed under: Malus domestica (apple)
Lineage: Eukaryota; Viridiplantae; Streptophyta; Magnoliopsida; Rosales; Rosaceae
Description: long non-coding RNA (MDOM_LNC007883)
Source: RNAcentral